AACGAACGCUGGCGGCAUGCCUAACACAUGCAAGUCGAACGAUUGCCUUCGGGUGAUAGUGGCGCACGGGUGCGUAACGCGUGGGAAUCUGCCCUUAGGUUCGGAAUAACAGCUGGAAACGGCUGCUAAUACCGGAUGAUAUCGCGAGAUCAAAGAUUUAUCGCCUGAGGAUGAGCCCGCGUUGGAUUAGGUAGUUGGUGGGGUAAAGGCCUACCAAGCUGACGAUCCAUAGCUGGUCUGAGAGGAUGAUCAGCCACACUGGGACUGAGACACGGCCCAGACUCCUACGGGAGGCAGCAGUGGGGAAUAUUGGACAAUGGGCGCAAGCCUGAUCCAGCAAUGCCGCGUGAGUGAUGAAGGCCCUAGGGUUGUAAAGCUCUUUUACCCGGGAAGAUAAUGACUGUACCGGGAGAAUAAGCCCCGGCUAACUCCGUG
RNAcentral lists this ribosomal RNA (435 nucleotides) under uncultured bacterium. RNAcentral describes it as "partial 16S ribosomal RNA". It matches the Rfam family "Bacterial small subunit ribosomal RNA", at positions 29 to 507 of the family's 1533-position model. The record is from RNAcentral.